GGGUCAGUAGGUUGGUCGUGCCACCGGUACGUACUGGUCUCACUGAUUCCUCCUUCCUGAAGAACCGUAAUGCCAUUAAUUUGGUGUUGCGGGGAAACAGGACUGUUACUUUGAAAAAAUUAGAGUGUUUAAAGCAAGCUAACGCUUGAAUACAUUAGCAUGGAAUAAUGAAAUAGGACGAUCGAUCCUAUUUUGUUGGUUUCUAGGAUUGACGUU
This 216-nucleotide ribosomal RNA is filed under the name Glomeromycotina sp. Its description in RNAcentral is "partial small subunit ribosomal RNA". The stretch from base 40 to 216 matches the Rfam family "Eukaryotic small subunit ribosomal RNA", at positions 686 to 864 of the family's 1831-position model. Lineage: Eukaryota; Fungi; Glomeromycota. The record is from RNAcentral.